RNAcentral lists this ribosomal RNA (494 nucleotides) under uncultured bacterium. RNAcentral's name for it is "partial 16S ribosomal RNA". It matches the Rfam family "Bacterial small subunit ribosomal RNA", at positions 28 to 507 of the family's 1533-position model. The record is from RNAcentral.
GACGAACGCUGGCGGCGUGCCUAAUACAUGCAAGUAGAACGCUGAAGGAGGAGCUUGCUUCUCUGGAUGAGUUGCGAACGGGUGAGUAACGCGUAGGUAACCUGCCUGGUAGCGGGGGAUAACUCUUGGAAAAGAUAGCUAAUACCGCAUAAGAGUAGAUGUUGCAUGACAUUUGCUUAAAAGGUGCAAUUGCAUCACUACUAGAUGGACCUGCGUUGUCUUAGCUAGUUGGUGGGGUAACGGCGCACCAAGGCGCCGAAACAUAGUCGACCUGAGAGGGGGAUCGCCCACACUGGAACUGGACCAGGGUCCAACCUCUUCCGGGAGGAGGCGGAAGGGAAUUUUGCGAAAGGGGCGAAAGCUUGACGGGGCACGGCGGCGUGGGUGAUGAAGGUCUUCGGUCGGUAAGACUCGGUUUUAGGGAAGAAACAGAUGUGUAGUUAAAAGUGCACACCGUGACGGUACCUAAUCAGAAAGCCACGGCUAACUACGUG